UGCAGUCGACGAAGUAGCAAUACUUAGUGGCAGACGGGUGAGUAACAUGUGGGUAUCUUCCCUUUGGUGAGGAAUAACACGAGGAAACUUGUGCUAAUACCUCAUAAGUCUUUACGGAGAAAGCUUUAUGCGCCAAUGGAUGAGCCCGCACUUGAUUAGUUUGUUGGUGGGGUAAUGGCCUACCAAGACUUUGAUCAAUAGCUGAUCUGAGAGGAUGAUCAGCCACAUUGGGACUGAGACACGGCCCAAACUCCUACGGGAGGCAGCAGUAGGGAAUAUUGCACAAUGGAGGAAACUCUGAUGCAGCGAUGCCGCGUGAGUGAAGAAGGCCUUUGGGUUGUAAAGCUCUUUCGUCGGGGAAGAAAAUGACGGUACCCGAAUAAGAAGGUCCGGCUAACUUCGUGCCAGCAGCCGCGGUAAUACGAAGGGACCUAGCGUAGUUCGGAAUUACUGGGCUUAAAGAGUUCGUAGGUGGUUAAAAAAGUUGGUUGUGAAAUCCCGAAGCUUAACUUCGGAACUGCAAUCAAAACUUUUUAGCUAGAGUAUGAUAGAGGAAAGCAGAAUUUCUAGUGUAGAGGUGAAAUUCGUAGAUAUUAGAAAGAAUACCAAUUGCGAAGGCAGCUUUCUGGAUCAUUACUGACGCUGAGGAACGAAAGCAUGGGUAGCGAAGAGGAUUAGAUACCCUCGUAGUCCAUGCCGUAAACGAUGUGUGUUAGACGUUGGAAAUUUAUUUUCAGUGUCGCAGCGAAAGCAGUAAACACACCGCCUGGGGAGUACGACCGCAAGGUUAAAACUCAAAUGAAUUUGACGGGGACCCGCACAA
RNAcentral lists this ribosomal RNA (823 nucleotides) under uncultured Pelagibacterales bacterium. RNAcentral describes it as "bacterial SSU rRNA". It matches the Rfam family "Bacterial small subunit ribosomal RNA", at positions 56 to 928 of the family's 1533-position model. The record is from RNAcentral. Lineage: Bacteria; Pseudomonadati; Pseudomonadota; Alphaproteobacteria; Candidatus Pelagibacterales.